This 429-nucleotide ribosomal RNA is filed under the name Bacteroidota bacterium. RNAcentral describes it as "Bacteroidetes bacterium partial 16S ribosomal RNA". It matches the Rfam family "Bacterial small subunit ribosomal RNA", at positions 355 to 776 of the family's 1533-position model. The record is from RNAcentral. Lineage: Bacteria; Pseudomonadati; Bacteroidota.
UAGGGAAUCUUCGGCAAUGGGGGGAACCCUGACCGAGCAACGCCGCGUGAGUGAAGAAGGCUUUCGGAUCGUAAAGCUCUGUUGUUAAGGAAGAACGAGUGUGAGAAUGGAAAGUUCAUACUGUGACGGUACUUAACCAGAAAGGGACGGCUAACUACGUGCCAGCAGCCGCGGUAAUACGUAGGUCCCGAGCGUUGUCCGGAUUUAUUGGGCGUAAAGCGAGCGCAGGCGGUUAGAUAAGUCUGAAGUUAAAGGCAGUGGCUCAACCCUUGUAGGCUUUGGAAACUGUUUAACUUGAGUGCAGAAGGGGAGAGUGGAAUUCCAUGUGUAGCGGUGAAAUGCGUAGAUAUAUGGGGGAACACCGGUGGCGAAAGCGGCUCUCUGGUCUGUAACUGACGCUGAGGCUCGAAAGCGUGGGGAGCGAACAGG